This 347-nucleotide unclassified non-coding RNA is filed under the name soil metagenome. RNAcentral describes it as "partial contains 5.8S ribosomal RNA, internal transcribed spacer 2, and large subunit ribosomal RNA". The stretch from base 1 to 120 matches the Rfam family "5.8S ribosomal RNA", at positions 35 to 154 of the family's 154-position model. The record is from RNAcentral.
GAUGAAGAACGCAGCAAAAUGCGAUAAGUAAUGUGAAUUGCAGAAUUCAGUGAAUCAUCGAAUCUUUGAACGCACAUUGCGCCCGCUGGUAUUCCGGCGGGCAUGCCUGUUCGAGCGUCAUUUCAACCCUCAAGCCCCCCGGGUUUGGUGUUGGGGAUCGGCUCUGCCUCACGGCGGUGCCGCCCCCGAAAUACAUUGGCGGUCUCGCUGCAGCCUCCAUUGCGUAGUAGCUAACACCUCGCAACUGGAACGCGGCGCGGCCAUGCCGUAAAACCCCAACUUCUGAAUGUUGACCUCCGAUCAGGUAGGAAUACCCGCUGAACUUAAGCAUAUCAAUAAGCGGAGGA